This 249-nucleotide ribosomal RNA is filed under the name uncultured Actinomycetales bacterium. RNAcentral's name for it is "partial 16S ribosomal RNA". It matches the Rfam family "Bacterial small subunit ribosomal RNA", at positions 84 to 334 of the family's 1533-position model. The record is from RNAcentral. Lineage: Bacteria; Bacillati; Actinomycetota; Actinomycetes; Actinomycetales.
GGGGUGCUCGAGUGGCGAACGGGUGAGUAACACGUGAGUAACCUGCCCUUGACUUUGGGAUAACUUCAGGAAACUGGGGCUGAUACCGGAUAGGAGCUCCUGCUGCAUGGUGGGGGUUGGAAAGUUUCGGCGGUUGGGGAUGGACUCGCGGCUUAUCAGCUUGUUGGUGGGGUAGUGGCUUACCAAGGCUUUGACGGGUAGCCGGCCUGAGAGGGUGACCGGCCACAUUGGGACUGAGAUACGGCCCAG